Molecule: transfer RNA, 69 nt
Filed under: Nothobranchius foerschi
Lineage: Eukaryota; Metazoa; Chordata; Actinopteri; Cyprinodontiformes; Nothobranchiidae
Description: tRNA-Phe
Rfam family: tRNA
About the family: Transfer RNA (tRNA) molecules are approximately 80 nucleotides in length. Their secondary structure includes four short double-helical elements and three loops (D, anti-codon, and T loops).
Source: RNAcentral
GUUAACGUAGCUUAAUUAAAGCACAACACUGAAGUUGUUAAGACAGACCUUAAAAUGGUCUCGUAAACA